This is a small nuclear RNA of Apteryx haastii (Great spotted kiwi), 105 nucleotides long. The record is from Ensembl. Lineage: Eukaryota; Metazoa; Chordata; Aves; Apterygiformes; Apterygidae.
UUCCUAGUUUGGCAGCACAAGCCCUAACGUUAUAACGAGGGAGAAGGUUAGCACAGCCCUUGCGCAAGGAUGACAAGCAAAUUCCCUGAGUUUUGCUAGGGAAUU